The sequence is a ribosomal RNA, 93 nucleotides long. It matches the Rfam family "5.8S ribosomal RNA", at positions 64 to 154 of the family's 154-position model. From Rfam's summary of the family: 5.8S ribosomal RNA (5.8S rRNA) is a component of the large subunit of the eukaryotic ribosome.
GGUGUGAAUUGCAGAAUCCCGUGAACCAUCGAGUCUUUGAACGCAAGUUGCGCCCGAAGCCACUAGGCUGAGGGCACGUCUGCCUGGGUGUCA